RNAcentral lists this ribosomal RNA (253 nucleotides) under uncultured bacterium. Its description in RNAcentral is "partial 16S ribosomal RNA". It matches the Rfam family "Bacterial small subunit ribosomal RNA", at positions 524 to 776 of the family's 1533-position model. The record is from RNAcentral.
GACAGAGAGUGCAAACGUUGUUCGGAAUUACUGAGCGUAAAGCGCGUGUAGACGGCUAAGUAAGUCGGGCGUGAAAUCCCACAGCUCAACCAUGGAAGUGCACUCGAAACUGCAUAGCUAGAGUCCUAGAGAGAAAGGUGGAAUGCUUGGUGUAGAGGUGAAAUUCGUAGAUAUCAAGCGAAACACCGGUGGCGAAGGCGACCUUCUGAACAGUGACUGACGCUGAGACGCGAAAGCGUGGGGAGCAAACAAG